CUCUACGCAAGUAGGAUUCUAAGACAUUUCAAAAAUCAAGAGCUGGGUGCUCAACUAGGAAAGAAUCCUGGCUACUGAUGGAAUUGGCUGGGGGCAAAAGGAACAUGGAAGAGGGGGUGCAACAGCAGUAUCAUUUGCUGGGAGAAGGUCGGAUACCUACGGGUUUUGAGGAAGGUGGACCCUAAACCCUCUUCUUUGGGAAGUGGCAAACAAGCAGAAGAGACAAGGUCCCAGAAGAACCUUUAUCAAGACAGCACCCAGAACUCUAACCAAGGAGUUCAAAGCUGAGAGCAAGACCUUGACCAUGGCAACUUUAUCCAGGCAGUGCCACCAUGUGAUGCCACCUGAGGUGCCCGAGUGACAACCCCUCACCAUGGCCUCCCCCAGUAGCAACAAGUAUUAUUAAGGGUCUUGUAGGUGUGAUUUUCGCUCUGAAAAUGUGCCAGUUAUUAUCAUCUCUGGGCUUCACUUUUCUCGGAUGUAGAAUAAUGGGUUGGCCUCGAUGUUCUCUGAGAACGUUCAAUCUCUGUGAGACUCUAUUGAAAAUAUCAUUGACUCUCUUUUCUCUCUCUUUUCUUUUUCUUGUUUUCUUUUAAACAUCGAAAAAGGGCAGUGUCCUGUAAAACUUAAAUCUUGUGGCUUGUUCUUGAGUUUGACACACUAAACAAAUGAACUAUUUUCAACUGAUUAAUCAUGCCCCUCAGUUCUCAUGGGAAUAUGAGUUGGUUAUGCAUGAGAAAGUCUGCUGAUUUUGACGUGAGGAUGUCUUUCAGACAGGUAAGUCACCUGUGAUGAAGUGAUCCAUUGAAGAAAGCCUAUUUUCUUGCUGCAUAAAUACAGGCCUGAACUACGUGUGAGCUGUCAUACACAUACCCCCUGGAUGCAAUUCCCGAGAAGUGACAGGCCGCCAUCAUUCAUGCUAAUGUCUAUUUGUGCAACAAUGUUGUUUGAAAUAAUCGACCAAUUCAUCAAAGGGAACAGCCGACUUUGGUGGGGGAGGGGGGCAGAGGGUGCUUUUUCAGUCCUAAUGAAAGAAACGACAUUCCUGUUUACCAUUUGUCAGCUUUAAAUAGUCAAUAAAUGUUUGCAAUGAUUUCCAAAUUUUGAGAUGUGAUUCGCUUGUAAGGAUAUGAAAUUUUUAAGAUUUAUAGAGAGGGUGUUUCUUCCGUAAACAUUCAGCUUUGAUAAUUAUCAGGAGAACUAUUCAUUUUGUCUCAGAAGUUAAAUGCAUGAUAAAUGGAAUGCCUCUUAUUGGUUGCAAUUUUCUAAAUGUAAAGAAUGCCUAUUUCUUUGAUAAUCAACACAAAUACGUUAAUAAUAAUUAUAAAGCUUUUCAGUGCUAUAGGUUGAUGAUAAGCCUGAAAGUAUAGAAUAGUAUAAUCUCUAUAUUAAAUUGUUUUCAUUUUUGAAGCAGAUGCAACAAAAAUCAGAAUUUUCUUAGAAUUUCCAGGGACCCUACCCAGAUAUUCCUGACUGAUAACAGCUAAUAGGGUCAACUACGCCCUCCUACCGUGGGCUCCAUGUCUC
RNAcentral lists this long non-coding RNA (1527 nucleotides) under Equus caballus (horse). RNAcentral's name for it is "lncRNA (ENSECAG00000058400.1)". Lineage: Eukaryota; Metazoa; Chordata; Mammalia; Perissodactyla; Equidae. The record is from RNAcentral.